AUUGAACGCUGGCGGCAUGCCUUACACAUGCAAGUCGAACGGCAGCACGGGAGCAAUCCUGGUGGCGAGUGGCGAACGGGUGAGUAAUAUAUCGGAACGUGCCCAGUCGUGGGGAUAACGUAGCGAAAGCUACGCUAAUACCGCAUACGAUCUAUGGAUGAAAGCGGGGGAUCGCAAGACCUCGCGCGAUUGGAGCGGCCGAUAUCAGAUUAGGUAGUUGGUGAGGUAAAGGCUCACCAAGCCGACGAUCUGUAGCUGGUCUGAGAGGACGACCAGCCACACUGGGACUGAGACACGGCCCAGACUCCUACGGGAGGCAGCAGUGGGGAAUAUUGGGACAAAUGGCGAAAGCCUGAUCCAGCCAUGCCGCGUGUGUGAAGAAGGUCUUCGGAUUGUAAAGGCACUUUAAGUUGGGAGGAAGGGUAGUAACCUAAUAACGUUGCUACUUUGACGUUACCGACAGAAUAAAGCACCGGCUAACUUCGUGCCAG
This 491-nucleotide ribosomal RNA is filed under the name uncultured bacterium. RNAcentral's name for it is "bacterial SSU rRNA". It matches the Rfam family "Bacterial small subunit ribosomal RNA", at positions 30 to 511 of the family's 1533-position model. The record is from RNAcentral.